This is a long non-coding RNA of Nerophis ophidion (straightnose pipefish), 816 nucleotides long. RefSeq lists it as uncharacterized. The record is from RefSeq and is a predicted model, not a curated record. Lineage: Eukaryota; Metazoa; Chordata; Actinopteri; Syngnathiformes; Syngnathidae. The transcript has 5 exons.
UGUGUGGGUUCACUCUGAGUGUCACUCUGCAAAGUUUCACUUUUCCUGCUUUUGACAGAAAAGAGGAGUUUUACCAGCACUGCUGCAUUCAGGGACCACGAGCGCCGUUACAAUACAACCCGACCCUGAUCGAAUGGGCGCCAUCGCAGAACCCAGGAGGGACUGGAUAUUCUUGAAAAGAUGCAGUCAUAGACCAUGUUCAUAACCAGGAGAAGAAGGAGGGGUGGAAAAAAGGAAGCAUGUCGAUAAUUGAAGACGUCGUCUGCGUGGGGGAACAAAAGGUCAGCGGGAAUCGACACAGGUGGCGGACGGUCGGUUCCGCCGUGAAAGACCGGAGCAGCUGAGGCCAUGCCGGCUGUGUCAUUACUCUCCGCUGCAAAGACUCUCCAGUGAGCAAGGCUCUGCUUGUAAGAGACUUGGAGAUGAGCAUGAACAGAAAGCAGCGAAGGUGUGAAUGAAACGAGUGGCGAAAACAACAUCCUCAUGGUCAUUGUGAGCACACGUCCAAUAAGCUUCUCUACAAAGACCCUUUCCAAGACGUGGAGCAAAGAAGAUGGUCGGAAUGGACAGAUUGUAGCGGGAGAAGGUGGAAGCCUGCAGGUGGAGAGGCUGGCAGGAAACGGUUAGUUUUGCCAAAGUCCAGACAGAGCAGAGAUGGGGUCCUUGGCGAGGUUACGACACCUGGCAACAAGAGCACACAUGACAUUGUGUUAGUCGACUCACUUUCACACAGACACAUUUCUUUUACAUAUAUUAGGAGGGUGUCAAAUAAUCGGAUUUAAGUAAAUUGCAAUUCUUAUUUGUAGCGAUUCUUAA